This 73-nucleotide transfer RNA is filed under the name Vicugna pacos (alpaca). RNAcentral's name for it is "tRNA-Ala (AGC) (tRNA-Ala-AGC-365-1)". It matches the Rfam family "tRNA". From Rfam's summary of the family: Transfer RNA (tRNA) molecules are approximately 80 nucleotides in length. Lineage: Eukaryota; Metazoa; Chordata; Mammalia; Artiodactyla; Camelidae. The record is from RNAcentral.
GGUGGGUAUAGCUCAGAGGUAGAGCGCAUGCUUAGCAUGCAUGAGGUCCUGGGUUCAAUCCCUAGUACCUCCA